CCUACGGGGGGCAGCAGUGGGGAAUAUUGGACAAUGGGCGAAAGCCUGAUCCAGCCAUGCCGCGUGUGUGAAGAAGGCCUUCGGGUUGUAAAGCACUUUCAGUGGGGAAGAAAGCCUUGGGGCUAAUACCCUCGAGGAAGGACAUCACCCACAGAAGAAGCACCGGCUAACUCCGUGCCAGCAGCCGCGGUAAUACGGAGGGUGCGAGCGUUAAUCGGAAUUACUGGGCGUAAAGCGCGCGUAGGCGGUCUGAUAAGCCGGUUGUGAAAGCCCCGGGCUCAACCUGGGAACGGCAUCCGGAACGGUCAGGCUAGAGGGCAGGAGAGGAAGGUAGAAUUCACGGUGUAGCGGUGAAAUGCGUAGAGAUCGGGAGGAAUACCAGUGGCGAAGGCGGCCUUCUGGACUGACACUGACGCUGAGGUGCGAAAGCGUGGGUAGCAAACAGGAUUAGAUACCCCAGUAGUC
RNAcentral lists this ribosomal RNA (465 nucleotides) under Vreelandella stevensii. RNAcentral's name for it is "partial 16S ribosomal RNA". It matches the Rfam family "Bacterial small subunit ribosomal RNA", at positions 338 to 795 of the family's 1533-position model. Lineage: Bacteria; Pseudomonadati; Pseudomonadota; Gammaproteobacteria; Oceanospirillales; Halomonadaceae. The record is from RNAcentral.